GACUCUCGGCAACAGAUAUCUUGGCUCUCGCAUCGAUGAAGAACGUAGCGAAAUGCGAUACUUGGUGUGAAUUGCAGAAUCCCGUGAACCAUCGAGUCUUUGAACACAAGUUGCGCCCGAAGCCAUUAGGCCGAGGGCACGUCUGCCUGGGCAUCA
RNAcentral lists this ribosomal RNA (156 nucleotides) under Nicotiana attenuata. RNAcentral describes it as "rRNA 5_8S_rRNA". It matches the Rfam family "5.8S ribosomal RNA". From Rfam's summary of the family: 5.8S ribosomal RNA (5.8S rRNA) is a component of the large subunit of the eukaryotic ribosome. Lineage: Eukaryota; Viridiplantae; Streptophyta; Magnoliopsida; Solanales; Solanaceae. The record is from Rfam by way of RNAcentral.